Molecule: ribosomal RNA, 511 nt
Filed under: uncultured bacterium
Lineage: Bacteria
Description: bacterial SSU rRNA
Rfam family: Bacterial small subunit ribosomal RNA
Source: RNAcentral
GAGUUUGAUCAGUGGCUCAGGACGACGCUGGCGGCGUGCUUAACACAUGCAAGUGGAGCGACGAACCGGGGCUUGCCCCGGGGCAGAGCCGCGAACGGGUGAGUAACACGUGGGUAACCUGCCUCAAUGAUUGGGACAACCCGGGGAAACUCGGGCUAAUACCAAAUGUGUUCACUCCUUCUAAGGGGAGUGAGGAAAGGAAGCUUCGGCCUCCGCAUUGAGAUGGGCCCGCGGCCCAUUAGCUUGUUGGUGAGGUAACGGCUCACCAAGGCUUCGAUGGGUAGCUGGUCUGAGAGGACGAUCAGCCACACUGGGACUGAGACACGGCCCAGACUCCUACGGGAGGCAGCAGUGGGGAAUCUUGCACAAUGCGCGAAAGCGUGAUGCAGCAACGCCGCGUGGGGAAGACGGCCUUCGGGUUGUAAACCCCUUUCAGUUGGGACGAAGCUUCGUCGGUGAAUAGCCGGUUGGAGUGACGGUACCUUCAGAAGAAGCCCCGGCUAACUACGUG